CCUACGGGAGGCAGCAGUGGGGAAUAUUGCACAAUGGGCGAAAGCCUGAUGCAGCGACGCCGCGUGAGGGAUGACGGCCUUCGGGUUGUAAACCUCUUUCAGCAGGGAAGAAGCGAGAGUGACGGUACCUGCAGAAGAAGCGCCGGCUAACUACGUGCCAGCAGCCGCGGUAAUACGUAGGGCGCAAGCGUUGUCCGGAAUUAUUGGGCGUAAAGAGCUCGUAGGCGGCUUGUUGCGUCGGUUGUGAAAGCCCGGGGCUUAACCCCGGGUCUGCAGUCGAUACGGGCAGGCUAGAGUGUGGUAGGGGAGAUCGGAAUUCCUGGUGUAGCGGUGAAAUGCGCAGAUAUCAGGAGGAACACCGGUGGCGAAGGCGGAUCUCUGGGCCAUUACUGACGCUGAGGAGCGAAAGCGUGGGGAGCGAACAGGAUUAGAUACCCUGGUAGUCCACGCCGUAAACGUUGGGAACUAGGUGUUGGCGACAUUCCACGUCGUCGGUGCCGCAGCUAACGCAUUAAGUUCCCCGCCUGGGGAGUACGGCCGCAAGGCUAAAACUCAAAGGAAUUGACGGCUGAGACGNGCGACGACGACACGAGGAGAG
RNAcentral lists this ribosomal RNA (598 nucleotides) under uncultured bacterium. RNAcentral describes it as "bacterial SSU rRNA". It matches the Rfam family "Bacterial small subunit ribosomal RNA", at positions 338 to 946 of the family's 1533-position model. The record is from RNAcentral.